RNAcentral lists this ribosomal RNA (826 nucleotides) under uncultured bacterium. RNAcentral's name for it is "bacterial SSU rRNA". It matches the Rfam family "Bacterial small subunit ribosomal RNA", at positions 35 to 866 of the family's 1533-position model. The record is from RNAcentral.
GCUGGCGGUGCGCCUUAUGCAUGCAAGUCGAGCGAAGCUUUUCAGUAGUUUACUACAGAAAAUGACUGAGCGGCGAACGGGUGAGUAACGCGUGAGCAAUCUACCUUAGUUACUGGGAUAGCCCGAGGAAACUCGGAUUAAUACCGGAUAAUCUUAUUACAUCACAUGAUAUUUUAAGUAAAGGUCAGCCGAACUAAGAUGAGCUCGCGUUCUAUCAGCUUGUUGGUGGGGUAAAAGCCUACCAAGGCUACGACGGAUAGCUGGUCUGAGAGGACGAUCAGCCACACUGGGACUGAGACACGGCCCAGACUCCUACGGGAGGCUGCAGCAGGGAAUAUUGCGCAAUGAGCGAAAGCUUGACGCAGCGACACCGCGUGUGGGAUGACGGUUCUAGGAUUGUAAACCACUUUCAGGAGGGAAGAAAAUGACGGUACCUCCACAAGAAGCCCCGGCCAACUACGUGCCAGCAGCCGCGGUAAUACGUAGGGGGCGAGCGUUGUCCGGAUUUAUUGGGCGUAAAGAGCUCGUAGGCGGUUCAACAAGUCGGUCGUGAAAGUUCAGGGCUUAACCCUGAAAUGUCGAUCGAUACUGUUGUGACUAGGAUAUGGUAGAGGUGAGUGGAAUUCCGAGUGUAGCGGUGAAAUGCGUAGAUAUUCGGAGGAACACCAAUAGCGAAGGCAGCUCACUGGACCACUAUCGACGCUGAGGAGCGAAAGCUAGGGGAGCAAACAGGAUUAGAUACCCUGGUAGUCCUAGCUGUAAACGAUGGAUACUAGAUGUAGGAAUUGGAUUGACGAUUUCUGUAUCGUAGCUAACGCGUUAAGUA